RNAcentral lists this unclassified non-coding RNA (374 nucleotides) under soil metagenome. Its description in RNAcentral is "partial contains 5.8S ribosomal RNA, internal transcribed spacer 2, and large subunit ribosomal RNA". The stretch from base 1 to 120 matches the Rfam family "5.8S ribosomal RNA", at positions 35 to 154 of the family's 154-position model. The record is from RNAcentral.
GAUGAAGAACGUAGCGAAAUGCGAUAAGUAAUGUGGAUUGCAGAAUUCAGUGAAUCAUCGAAUCUUUGAACGCACAUUGCGCCCGCCAGUAUUCUGGCGGGCAUGCCUGUUCGAGCGUCAUUACAACCCUCAAGCCCCCCGGCUUGGUGUUGGGGACCGGCCACCGGUGCCCUGCUGCUUCCGCGGCAGGCGCGCCCGGCCGCCCCCGAAAUGAAUUGGCGGCCCCGUCGCGGCCUCCCUCUGCGUAGUAGCACACAUCUCGCAGCUGGAGCGCGGCGCGGCCACUGCCGUAAAACGCACCAACUUUUUUUUACAGUUGACCUCGAAUCAGGUAGGAAUACCCGCUGAACUUAAGCAUAUCAAUAAGCGGAGGA